AUCUGUUCUCGGCCUUUUGGCUAAGAUCAAGGGCAAUAUCUGCUCUUACCUGCUUAAUAUCAGAUAUGCCUUCUGUCAAGGACAGCAUCAUGAGUGGAGUUUUGGAGCUGGGAGACAGACUAGGAGCUUGCUCCAUCCACUCUCUGCAUGGAUCUGGAAUAGCAGUGCCUCCAGGAACAGUGGAUCCCCU
RNAcentral lists this small nuclear RNA (190 nucleotides) under Chinchilla lanigera (long-tailed chinchilla). RNAcentral describes it as "U2 spliceosomal RNA (ENSCLAG00000020744.1)". It matches the Rfam family "U2 spliceosomal RNA". From Rfam's summary of the family: U2 is a small nuclear RNA (snRNA) component of the spliceosome (involved in pre-mRNA splicing). Complementary binding between U2 snRNA (in an area lying towards the 5' end but 3' to hairpin I) and the branchpoint sequence (BPS) of the intron results the bulging out of an unpaired adenosine, on the BPS, which initiates a nucleophilic attack at the intronic 5' splice site, thus starting the first of two transesterification reactions that mediate splicing. Lineage: Eukaryota; Metazoa; Chordata; Mammalia; Rodentia; Chinchillidae. The record is from Rfam by way of RNAcentral.